This 442-nucleotide ribosomal RNA is filed under the name uncultured bacterium. RNAcentral describes it as "partial 16S ribosomal RNA". It matches the Rfam family "Bacterial small subunit ribosomal RNA", at positions 338 to 795 of the family's 1533-position model. The record is from RNAcentral.
CCUACGGGGGGCAGCAGUAGGGAAUCUUUCACAAUGGGCGAAAGCCUGAUGGAGCAACGCCGCGUGCAGGAUGAAGGCCUUCGGGUUGUAAACUGCUUUUAUAAGCGAGAAAUAUGAUGGUAACUUAUGAAUAAGGAUCGGCUAACUACGUGCCAGCAGCCGCGGUCAUACGUAGGAUCCGAGCAUUAUCCGGAGUGACUGGGUGUAAAGAGUUGCGUAGGUGGCAUAAUAAGUAGCUAGUGAAAUCGGGUGGCUCAACCAUUCAGACUAUUAGCUAAACUGUUAAGCUCGAGACCGUUAGGGGUAACUGGAAUUUCUAGUGUAGGAGUGAAAUCCGUAGAUAUUAGAAGGAACACCAAUGGCGUAGGCAGGUUACUGGGACGGUUCUGACACUAAGGCACGAAAGCGUAGGGAGCAAACGGGAUUAGAUACCCUGGUAGUC